CUGGCUCAUUCAACUUCAAAGAAAACCACAAACUUAAGUGCUCUCCCUGUGAUUAUAACCGAACAAACCAUGCGCUGGAAAACGGGGGCCAUCUUUUCUCCCGAAAGCAGGCAGCGGUACUUGGUCGUCGAGUGUCUGAAACUCCAAGUCGGACACUCAACUCCGCGAACACUGGUCAUUUUGUACAAACGCCCGCUUCAUUUCACGACAAGCCAAGAGAGCGCUGUUCAGUAGGAUUGUUCACAUGAACCAGACGAGCAAUCGCUACCUAUGAGUCAGGG
Pelobates cultripes (western spadefoot toad) is the source of this 281-nucleotide non-coding RNA. NCBI's taxonomy places the organism in Eukaryota, Metazoa, Chordata, Amphibia, Anura, Pelobatidae. The record is from the annotation of a GenBank genome assembly.